UUAAUUGUGCGUUUUAUGUUUAGAAUUAGUGUUUAUGCACUCGAAAAGACAUAAGUGCAGCCUCUUUAAAGUAAACUUUAUUUAAAUCUAAAAACAAUAAUGAUAUUUAAUUUGGAUUGUGUAAUCGUGUGUAUAACAAUGGACAAACAAACUGUUGUGAUUUGUAGGGGAAAUCCCCCCCUUUCAGCUUGCACUCCCCUGCAUUCCAUGGAUCUAAUUUUCAACAGCAGGGGGCGCUAAAAGAACACUAAAUCAGAAAGACAUGUUUAUUAUACUGUAUGUAAACAUGUUUCUGCUGCUGAGGGAUUGUGGUGUUUUCAUUCCAGGUAUUGUUAAAAAAAAAGAAACACAAACAAAUGAGUGACAUUUUGUUAUCUUCAUCAUCAAAGAACAUUGUGACGCUAAAAAAACUUUGCUCUGCUUCACAUGGUGAUUGGAAUCUGCAGCAUGGUUUCUUUCUCUGGUACUAAAAUCACUUCCUGACUAUUUUUAGGCCUGCUAAACAUGUGGCGCUCACUAAAUAAAACCCAAAACAAAGCCUGACUCCAAAGAAUAAGAUGAAAACUUAGUAGAUUUGUUGUAAAAUGUAUUUAUGUGAAGAAUGACAUGAAUAAGAUAUUCUUUAGUCAUAGAUAGGUGGACCUUUUUAUGGUUAAUUUUAUGAUGUUUACUGAUAUUGUUAAMGUUUGCUUUAUCGUUUUUAGCUUUGGACAAAACAUUCUUAGAUUCUUUGAUUUCAAUGAGUUUUUUCUGCUAAAAAAAGGGAAAUAAAAUGUGAAACACUGCAGAGACAGGAAGUAUGCAUGUUGAGCAAACAUCUUACGGAAAGAUUAUUUUUAAUCAGUCUGAACCAUUUAUCAGCACUUGUGAAAUGUGCACCAGUAAGUUAUUUUUUUAUUAUUAUUUUUAUCUUCACUUUCAUUUUCACACAAGGAAAGAACCAUGGCAGUUUGUUCAAACCUGCCAGGCUCUUUCUGCCGGGUAAAGGCGUGGCUGUUURUUCGCUUUGUGGUGCCAGCACUUCAACUCGAGACAACAAAUCAUAAAAAGAGAGAUUAGGGCAGUGCAGAUUAAAAGAGGGAGAUAACUGGGGAAGAAGRUCGUAGUAAACAUUCCCUGCAGAAAUCCCCUCUAGUAACCUGAAAGGCCUGACAUUAUUUGCAGCUGCUCAGUGAAAGUUUGUUGACAUACAGGUGUGUGCCAGGUGCCACCAUUUUAUUUUUGGUUUAUGAAACUUUUACACAACUAACACUUCCUUAGCAUUAUGAAUGAAGAUAUAUUUAAAAUAUGUCUUUUUUAUGUUUCAUCAACCAGAUUCCUUCCUCGAUGACUUUUUUUAAACUUCUGGAGGAUGUGCUUAGGCCUCAAUGCUACUUCCAGUGAGCAGAAAAAGAGAAGUGUUUCAUUCAAAUGAAGGGGGGGUCCCUAACGCGAUUUGUGGUCGGGAUGAACACCAACAGUUCCCCCACGAGGUGGAAGCCGGAGAAGCUUUACGCUGCAUAAAUCAAAACAAAGAACUUGAUUUUGACCUUUGACUUUUUUGUUUGUUUUGUGGAUUUAUCAAUAAACAAGAAGCUGCACCGUUUCUGCUGGUUGCUGAAAGAGGAAACGGUGCCUCUUUUGUAUCAAGCAGCAAAACCAACUUUUUUUUCCCUUUUUUUGGUUUUAUUCUGUUUUAGUGAUGGAGACUGAAAUGUCUCACCUUAGACAUCCCCUCUGCAUCAUCAGUCUCAUGACACAYAAUCCACACCUGCAGGAGUCUGAUUCUGAAAGUUUCAGAAAACACGCCAAUUACUGAAUUGUCUGAAUUUGCUAGAACUUGAUGAGGGUUUUUCUUUUUGAUUUCUCUCUUUCUCUCUUUAUAGAAGGAAGUAAAAAUAUAUCCGCUGUGAAAACGCAACGUUCCUUUAAAUCAGAAAAAAAAAUCAGGCAUGAUUUGAAAACCAAAAUGUUAUGAAAUGUUAGAUUUGUCCUAGAAUGUACAUUAAAAAAUCUUUGUUUUAAUCAUUGCAGAGUUGUGACAAAACUCACCAAAGCUUAAAAACACUUUACGAUUAGAAAUAUUGAAACAUAUUCAGAGUUCAUUGCAUUGUAAGUUUUACUAUUGUUCUUUUUGUGGAGGUUUUUUGAUAGGCCUGCUAUAUAUUAUCUUCUAACAAGACCACAACAUUGUUAUAUUUUAUGUACAAAGCAAUAAACUCCCCUCUUAUUUGCAUAUUUGAAAAAAA
Molecule: long non-coding RNA, 2228 nt
Organism: Austrofundulus limnaeus
Lineage: Eukaryota; Metazoa; Chordata; Actinopteri; Cyprinodontiformes; Rivulidae
Exons: 2
Source: RefSeq, a predicted model, not a curated record